UUACAAUUCUGCGAGGGACAAG
This 22-nucleotide non-coding RNA is filed under the name Arabidopsis thaliana (thale cress). The record is from RNAcentral. Lineage: Eukaryota; Viridiplantae; Streptophyta; Magnoliopsida; Brassicales; Brassicaceae.